Molecule: ribosomal RNA, 468 nt
Filed under: uncultured bacterium
Lineage: Bacteria
Description: partial 16S ribosomal RNA
Rfam family: Bacterial small subunit ribosomal RNA
Source: RNAcentral
GACGAACGCUGGCGGCGUGCUUAACACAUGCAAGUCGAACGGAAAGGCCCUGCUUUUGUGGGGUGCUCGAGUGGCGAACGGGUGAGUAACACGUGAGUAACCUGCCCUUGACUUUGGGAUAACUUCAGGAAACUGGGGCUAAUGCCGGAUAGGAGCUCCUGCUGCAUGGUGGGGGUUGGAAAGUUUCGGCGGUUGGGGAUGGACUCGCGGCUUAUCAGCUUGUUGGUGGGGUAGUGGCUUACCAAGGCUUUGACGGGUAGCCGGCCUGAGAGGGUGACCGGCCACAUUGGGACUGAGAUACGGCGCAGACUCCUACGGGAGGCAGCAGUGGGGAAUAUUGCACAAUGGGCGGAAGCCUGAUGCAGCAACGCCGCGUGCGGGAUGACGGCCUUCGGGUUGUAAACCGCUUUCGCCUGUGACGAAGCGUGAGUGACGGUAAUGGGUAAAGAAGCACCGGCUAACUACGUG